CUGGAUUUGACUAUCUUCUUUGUUCCAGGAAGAUGCAGCAAAAGUAAAUUUCUUGACUUCAACUUAAAUUCCACUUUCACACUAUUGUACAUCAUUUCCUAAAUUUCUUGUCUUGUGUCUAGUUUGAGGUGUAGAUGUACAUAUGGUUGCUUUGCUCCCCAGUAGUUCUAAAAUAUGUCUAGGUAUAUAUGUAUACUUUAGGAAGCAUAUACAUACCAUUUUACAUAUGUGAUCUGGUAUAGCAAUAUUGCCCCAGCCACUAGUACUAGUCACUGUAUCUGCAGUCCCACAUGAAGCAGGCCAUGACCAAAGGCAUAAAACUCGAUUGGUUAGUGGUCGUUCAUUAUCGAAUUAUUACAAACUCUCCUUUCGUAGUGCUGAGCCUCUGACUAUUAAGUCGGGUGAUUGUGACCAGUCAUGUUCUUCUUAUCAAAUUGUUUAUUUCGAUCCAGUUUGAAAAGGGCUGCGGCAUUGUCCAUCGUACACUUUCUUAUCUCAAUUUAUGGCUCUGUUUGGAUUGUACAUUGAUGCUGCUCUAGAGAGAAACCUUAUCUAUGUACAAGCUGGAAAUUAGCAGAGCCAGAUUCAUUUCUUCAUUUGUUAUAAAAAAUAAAUGUUGAAAUCCAUUUGAGAUGGAUUGCAUUAUGCUUAAUGGAAAUAUAGAUUGUUUUUAAGUAAAUCUGGAGUCCAGCCUAAUAGCUUUUCUUUUCAUCCAGAGACUGGGAAACAGUUCUAUUGAAUCAUCCAAUUUUAUUGGAGCCAGAUGAUUUGCUUGUUAGUAUUGAAGAACUUGAAACUUUUAUGUGGGGCAAGGAUUGGUUGCAAACUAGAUUUGCAAAUGUACUUUAUGUGAAAAUGCCUAGGUACCGAGAAAACUUCAAUAUUUUAUUGACCGAACCGUGUCCUCGUUAGAGUCUUGGCAAAGAGUAAACCCCUCUCUAUCAUCUAUUUGGCCAUCAUUCAGUUCUCAAGGAACAUGCAUCUCCACGCAUAUGAUCACAGCAAUGAGGUAUACACUUUGCAGUUUAUAUGACAGCUACAAUGGCUUGUUCUUUACUUCCUUCAUCCAAAAAGAUGGCUUGUUCUAAUGCCCUACAUUAUGUGCUUUCAGAUUUGGGACUCUUCACGAAUGGUUCAGGAAAUAAAUAAACUGUUUCCUGGCUUUAUGAGUAUGGUCUACUCAGUAAGACAUGCGACGAACACUGACUGGAACGACUUGCUCGAUCAUCAUCCAGAAACAAAGAAGUUUGUUCGUUCUUUCUAUCGUUAGCAUGUGUAAGCCCUGAUUUGCUUUAAAUAUAAUGGCUGUGCUUUCUUGAAGAAUGGGCUGCUCAGAAGUUUGUCUGAAUAUCUAUUCCUGAAAUUAAUAGGGCGGCCACCGAGAAGUGCGGAUGACAAGAAAGAUGGCUCUUUUAUGAUUAUAUUGUUUGCAGGGGCAGUCAACUUAAGUUUAUGUCUGUAUUCUUCAAUUUGUCUGAUGCACUUACCGUAGCAGUUGUAUCAGAAUUCAGAACCUAUCAUUUGUGUAGGUCAUUUAGAUGUCGUUUGCAAUCGCAGUGAACUUAAGUUUCUUCGAUGUGGUCUAAUCUACUUAUUACCAUAGCUGUUAUAUGAUUAUAUCAGAACCUGUUGUUUGUGUUAGACAUUUAUAUAACGUUUUCAGUUGUAUGCAAUGAACUUAAAGUUUGUUCAAUGUGGUCUGAUCUACUUAUCGUAGCUGUUGUAUGAGAACCUG
Molecule: long non-coding RNA, 1735 nt
Filed under: Setaria italica (foxtail millet)
Lineage: Eukaryota; Viridiplantae; Streptophyta; Magnoliopsida; Poales; Poaceae
Description: long non-coding RNA (SITA_LNC002925)
Source: RNAcentral